AAAAAAAUAAGCGGGAACUCAUAACUCUGUUUGCCUAUAACAGGAACCCAAGCCCUAAACCUCAUCUUUUUCUCUUCCCUCGUCCGUCCACCCCUGUCACCGCCAUAGCUCUCCUCCGUCAACGACCAUAGCUCUCUAGGAACUUGUUGUUUCUCUCACUUCAUCUCUGUCUCUCGCUCUCCUCAAUUUUCGAUCGCAUUUCGAUUGCAUUUUCCUAGGUGGUAAAUGCUAUUGGAGGCACAUUUCUUACCCUAUCGGACUUUAUAAGAGGCACACCGGGAAUUUUGAUGAGUGCUCCAACUCAAAUUUUUGGUUCUGGAUCUCUAACCCUAUCGAUUUUAAUGCAUGCACACCGGGAAUGAAUAAUGGACAUUAUGGACAUGCUUGACUAGUUUAUUGAACUUUUAUAGUUUGUUUUUAAGAUUGGAACUUAUUUUAUUAAGUCCCAUGUUAGAUGUGUAAAAUAGGCUGUGUAUUAAUUACCAAUGAAGUUAUGUUAUUAUUAUUAUUUGUUAUGUAAUGAAGUUAUGUUAUGAAGUUAAUUUUGGAGAUAAA
Camellia sinensis is the source of this 555-nucleotide non-coding RNA. Lineage: Eukaryota; Viridiplantae; Streptophyta; Magnoliopsida; Ericales; Theaceae. The record is from RefSeq and is a predicted model, not a curated record.